Molecule: ribosomal RNA, 253 nt
Filed under: uncultured bacterium
Lineage: Bacteria
Description: partial 16S ribosomal RNA
Rfam family: Bacterial small subunit ribosomal RNA
Source: RNAcentral
UACGAAGGGGGCUAGCGUUGUUCGGAAUUACUGGGCGUAAAGCGCACGUAGGCGGACUAUUAAGUCGGGGGUGAAAUCCUGGAGCUCAACUCCAGAACUGCCUUCGAUACUGGCGACCUUGAGUCCGGGAGAGGCGAGUGGAACUCCGAGUGUAGAGGUGAAAUUCGUAGAUAUUCGGAAGAACACCAGUGGCGAAGGCGGCUCACUGGCCCGGUACUGACGCUGAGGUGCGAAAGCGUGGGGAGCAAACAGG